ACCCACUCCCGGCACGGGGAGGUAGUGACGAAAAAUAACGAUACGGGACUCAUCCGAGGCCCCGUAAUCGGAAUGAGUACACUCUAAACCCUUUAACGAGGAUCAAUUGGAGGGCAAGUCUGGUGCCAGCAGCCGCGGUAAUUCCAGCUCCAAUAGCGUAUAUUAAAGUUGUUGCGGUUAAAAAGCUCGUAGUCGAAUCUGUGUCUCGCGCCGCCGGUUCAUCGCUCGCGGUGUUUAACUGGCGUGUCGCGGGACGUCCUGCCGGUGGGCUCAGCCUCCUUCGCGGGGGGCGGCCCAACUACGCAUCCCGCCGCGGUGCUCUUCGCUGAGUGUCGAGGUGGGCCGGCACGUUUACUUUGAACAAAUUANAGUGCUUAAAGCAGGCUCAAACUUCGCCUGAAUAUUCUGUGCAUGGAAUAAUGGAAUAGGACCUCGGUUCUAUUUUGUUGGUUUUCGGAACCCCGAGGUAAUGAUUAAUAGGAACGGAUGGGGGCAUUCGUAUUGCGACGUUAGAGGUGAAAUUCUUGGAUCGUCGCAAGACGGACGGAAGCGAAAGCAUUUGCCAAAAACGUUUUCAUUGAUCAAGAACGAAAGUUAGAGGUUCGAAGGCGAUCAGAUACCGCCCUAGUUCUAACCAUAAACGAUGCCAGCUAGCGAUCCGCCGACGUUCCUCCGAUGACUCGGCGGGCAGCUUCCGGGAAACCAAAGCUUUUGGGUUCCGGGGGAAGUAUGGUUGCAAAGCUGAAACUUAAAGGAAUUGACGGAAGGGCACCACCAGGAGUGGAGCCUGCGGCUUAAUUUGACUCAACACGGGAAACCUCACCAGGCCCGGACACCGGAAGGAUUGACAGAUUGAGAGCUCUUUCUUGAUUCGGUGGGUGGUGGUGCAUGGCCGUUCUUAGUUGGUGGAGCGAUUUGUCUGGUUAAUUCCGAUAACGAACGAGACUCUAGCCUGCUAACUAGGCGUACUUUCGACAUCUGAAAGGCCCCACGGCCCGGCGCUCUCGCGUCGCGGUCGCGCGCGGUUUUUACUGUCGGCGUACAAUCAAUUCUUCUUAGAGGGACAGGCGGCUUCUAGCCGCACGAGAUUGAGCAAUAACAGGUCUGUGAUGCCCUUAGAUGUUCUGGGCCGCACGCGCGCUACACUGAAGGAAUCAGCGUGUCCUCCCUGCCCGAGAGGGCCGGGUAACCCGCUGAACCUCCUUCGUGCUAGGGAUUGGGGCUUGCAAUUGUUCCCCAUGAACGAGGAAUUCCCAGUAAGCGCGAGUCAUAAGCUCGCGUUGAUUACGUCCCUGCCCUUUGUACACACCGCCCGUCGCUACUACCGAUUGAAUGAUUUAGUGAGGUCUUCGGACCGGUACGCGGCGGCGCUCCCGCGUCGCCGAUGUUGCUGGGAAGAUGACCAA
Molecule: ribosomal RNA, 1406 nt
Filed under: Adolopus sp. SLE0100
Lineage: Eukaryota; Metazoa; Arthropoda; Insecta; Coleoptera; Hydrophilidae
Description: SSU rRNA
Rfam family: Eukaryotic small subunit ribosomal RNA
Source: RNAcentral